GAAACGCCGACUAAUCCCCGAUGGGAUACGAUGCUUCAUGGCAUUGUAUUGAAAGUUACGGCGGCGACGGAUUGGCUCGCGUCCGAUUAGCUUGUUGGCGGGGUAACGGCCCACCAAGGCUACGAUCGGUAGGGGUUCUGAGAGGAAGGCCCCCCACAAUGGGACUGAGACACGGCCCAUACUCCUACGGGAGGCAGCAGUGAGGAAUAUUGGUCAAUGGGCGGAAGCCUGAACCAGCCAUGCCGCGUGCGGGAAGGAGGCCCUAUGGGCUGUGAACCGCUUUUGCCUGGGGGCAAUAAGGGCGUUGCGCACGUCCGAUGAGAGUACCAGGCGAAUAAGCAUCGGCUAACUCCGUGCCAGCAGCCGCGGUAAUACGGGGGAUGCGAGCGUUAUCCGGAUUCAUUGGGUUUAAAGGGUGCGUAGGCUGUGCGUCAAGUCGGGGGUGAAAUUCCGGUGCUCAACACCGGGGCUGCCCUUGAUACUGUCGCGCUGGAGUGCGGAUGCCGCCGGAGGAAUGAGUGGUGUAGCGGUGAAAUGCUUAGAUAUCACUCAGAACACCGAUUGCGAAGGCAUCUGGCGAAUCCGUAACUGACGCUGAGGCACGAAAGCGUGGGGAUAGAACAGGAUUAGAUACCCUGGUAUUCCACGCCGUAAACGAUGAUGGCUAACCGCCGGCGACACACUGUCGGUGGC
RNAcentral lists this ribosomal RNA (693 nucleotides) under uncultured bacterium. Its description in RNAcentral is "bacterial SSU rRNA". It matches the Rfam family "Bacterial small subunit ribosomal RNA", at positions 153 to 844 of the family's 1533-position model. The record is from RNAcentral.